RNAcentral lists this ribosomal RNA (477 nucleotides) under uncultured bacterium. RNAcentral's name for it is "bacterial SSU rRNA". It matches the Rfam family "Bacterial small subunit ribosomal RNA", at positions 28 to 524 of the family's 1533-position model. The record is from RNAcentral.
GACGAACGCUGGCGGCGUGCUUAACACAUGCAAGUCGAGCGGUAAGGCCCUUUCGGGGGUACGACGAGCGGCGAACGGGUGAGUAACACGUGGGUGACCUGCCCUCAGCUCUGGGAUAAGCCUGGGAAACCGGGUACUAAUACUGGAUAUGACUCCAUGACGCAUGUUGUGGGGUGGAAAGCCUUGUGCGGCUGAGGAUGGGCCCGCGGCCUAUCAGCUUGUUGGUGGGGUGANGGCCUACCAAGGCGACGACGGGUAGCCGGCCUGAGAGGGCGACCGGCCACACUGGGACUGAGACACGGCCCAGACUCCUACGGGAGGCAGCAGUGGGGAAUCUUGCGCAAUGGGCGAAAGCCUGACGCAGCGACGCCGCGUGGAUGAUGAAGGCCCUAGGGUUGUAAAAUCCUUUCGUUGGGGACGAUAAUGACGGUACCCAAAGAAGAAGCUCCGGCUAACUUCGUGACAGCCGCCAGUAAU